GAUGAACGCUGGCGGCGUGCCUAAUACAUGCAAGUCGAGCGAUCAAGCGAGGUGCUUGCUCCUAUUUGGAUAGCAGCGAACGGGUGAGUAACGCGUGGGUAACCUGCCUAUGAGCGGGGGACAACAUCGGGAAACGAAUGCUAAUACCGCAUAAUAUCUUUAAACAUAAGGUUCAAGAGUGAAAGAUGCAAUUGCAUUACUCAAAGGUGAUCUCGCGGCGUCUUAGCUAGUUGGUGAGGUAAAGGCCCAACAAGGCGAAGGUACAUAGCCCGCCUGGGAGGGUGGUCCGCCACAAUGGGACCGAGACACGGCCCAAACCUCUUCGGGGGGCAACAGUAGGGGAACUUCGGCCAUAGAGGGAAGGCUGAACGGGGCACGCCGCGGGGGUGGAGGAAGUUCUCGGGUCGUAAAACUCUGGUUGUUGGGAAGGAAGAAGGUGGGAAUGAAAUGCGCAUCUAGUGACGGUAACUAACCAGAAAGCGACGGCUAACUACGUG
Molecule: ribosomal RNA, 497 nt
Filed under: uncultured bacterium
Lineage: Bacteria
Description: partial 16S ribosomal RNA
Rfam family: Bacterial small subunit ribosomal RNA
Source: RNAcentral